This is a long non-coding RNA of Neofelis nebulosa (Clouded leopard), 4326 nucleotides long. RefSeq lists it as uncharacterized. Lineage: Eukaryota; Metazoa; Chordata; Mammalia; Carnivora; Felidae. The record is from RefSeq and is a predicted model, not a curated record. The transcript has 3 exons.
CGACUGAGCCACCCAGGUACCCCCCUUCCCUUUGUGUUUGUGUGUCCCCUUCAAAGCCAGUAUUUCCUUGUUGACUUUCUGUUUGGAUGAUCUUUCCAUUGAUUUAAGUGGGUUGUUAAAGGCCCCUACUAUUGUAUGACUAUCGGUUACUUUUUUUAAUGUGUUAUUGUUUUAUGUAUUGGGGUGCCCUCAUGUUGGGUGCACAGAAAGAUUUACGAUUGUUACAUCUUCUUGUUGAAUCGUCCCCUGAAUAUCUAACGUCCUUCUUUGUCUCUUGUUACGGCCUGUUUCCAAGUCUAUUUUGUCCAAUGUAAGUAUUGCUACCCUGGCUUUCUUUUCACAUCCAUUUGCAGGAUAAAUGCUUCUCCAUCCCGUCACUUUGAAUCUGCACACAUCUUCAGAUCUGAAAUGAGUCUCCUGGAGGAAGCAUACAGAUGGGUCUUGUUUUCUUAUCCAUUCCAUCACCCUAUGUCUUUUGAUUGGAAGCUUUAGUCCAUUUACAUUCAAAGAAUUAUUGACAGGCACACUCGGGGAUUCACCCAACCCCAGUCACGGCUCUCAGAAGAAACACGACUGAAUGGAUUGGAAGAUGGAUGGGUAAGUGCACUGCACAAAUUGCACGGAUUUGAUAAGCUAAGGCUACAGCAAAGCUCCUGGAGGUAAUUACCAAGAGAGACCUGUGUACCACAGUCACGGGCCUGCGUAAUGUGACAGGCAAAGGCCUUGCUCACAUUCGAGACUGUUCUAUGAAACUCUGUGUUUCAUUUGAUCACAAGCUGGCACGUAAUUUGGAAACAUGACCAAAUACGGUCUUCGACACGCCUUUCUGUCCUUUCUCCUUGUUUCCCUCCAUCUAAACCGGCAGGCAGGGGUGGGGAGAAGGAAAUGAACAGAUAAAAAAAAAAAAACCCACUAACGUAGAUUUUGCAGGCUGUCUCAUAGUUUCUAUGUGACUCCUUGUGACAGGAUGCACGGCUGUUGUAACCAUGGCUGUGUGACUCCAAGAGCCGCGCCCCAGGCCACGGGUCACACCGCGGACCUCCGGGCCCGGCCGAGCAUUCGCUGCCAGCUUCUCUUCCGUCUGAAAGUGCCAGUGUAAAUGGACCGCAGUCCCCUUCCUCAGCUCCUGAACGGCAGCCUGCCCUCCCAUUCAGCUGUCAUCGAGGUGCACGGUCCGUCGGGGUCCAUGCCAGGCCCCUGAACAGUUCUCUGCUGGUACGUAAACUUGUUUGAGUCACUGGGGGCAGAAACAGCAGACUCUUUCGUUGCUCAAGAGGUAGGAAGAGCCUGUGCGAUUAUCUUGGAUCUCUCAAUCCAACCUUGACGUUGUCAAAGGUGAAAAUUCUCCCCUUUCCCCCGAUGGGGCCAUAAUCGUCAUCAGCUGAUACUCUGGGGGCACUUACUAGACGCCAGGGAUGGUUCUAAACAUUCUAUGUGGAUCAGCUUACUUAGUCCUUCCCCAAAGCCUUAUGAAGCAGGACCAUUACACCUGUUCUACGGGCGAAGAAGCUGAGACACAGUGAGAUGUAAGUCACUUCGCUAGGGCCACACGGCAAAGAAGCACACGGGCUGGGAGGUGACCCCAGGACAGUCUAGUUCUAGAACCUGUUCUUUUUUUUUUUUUUUUUUUUUUAACGUUGAUUUAUUUAGAGAGAGAGAGAGAAUCCCAAGCAGGCUGCACACUGUCAGCACAGGGCCUGACGCAGGGCUCGAACUCACACACUGAGCUGAGGUCAAGAGUCGGACGCUCAGCCGACAGAGCCGCCCAGGCACCCCCAGAACCUGUACUUCUAUCCAGUGCUACUUUGACCCCCAUGGAAGCAACUUAUCCUACGUCCGUAGAAGACACCGGGCUGGGGAGACCCUCUUCUUGCUCCUCGGAGUGUGGUCUCCUGGGGGGGCUCCGAGCCAGCCCGGCUCAUGCCACCCUCGCAGCUUCAUGCUUUCGGAGCCUUGCGUCUUGACCUCCCUGCAGCCCAGCCAGAACCUGGCGUCUGGAAGCCACACCUCCCCAGGCACUCAGAUCGCUCUAGGACGGCUCUCUAGCGCCCCAGUCCGCGGGAGCCCCCUCUCCCCAGGGGGGUCCAGCCGUGUCCUCUGGCGGUGCCCCUUCCCACCAAGACCUCACCCACCGUACCUUUAAGCCGAGGUCCAGCUCCCUCAGCGAGCGCUGGAUCUCUCCGGUGAGGAUGUUCAUCCGCUCACACUCCUGGAAGGCCACGACGAUGUAGGGGCUGUGCUCCUCCACUCUGGCCAUCAGCUCUGGCAUGUUGAACUCGUCUGUCACUCGCUCCAGUAUUUCUUCCAGGAGGACCCUGACCUGGCCCGUAACAGGAAACACAGGGUAAAGAAGGGGCUCUAACUCUCCAGGACUCCAUUCCCCUGCGAUACGGCAGUCAGGACGCCCGUCAGCCACCCCCUCCCCCCCCCCACCCAUACUCUCGCACUGUCUACUCCCUUCAGAGUUUCCAUGAGGCCGCCCUGCAUGUUUCUGUCCUUGGGUCCUGGAAGAAGCAUCCCCAUGCAACACGUGAACCUCCUCCCCAGCCCCACGCUUCCUUUGACCACACAAGCCAUCAGCUAAUUAGACCACGGGAGCCAGGGUGUCUCUCCCGGAAAGUUGGAAAUGAACCACUCAGAUCCUGGGUUGUUUGGGGGCAAGCGCUUGGAGGCUGAGUCUGCCAUUUUGAAGUAAAUGAAUAAGCCCAGGAGGUCUGUCAGCAGAGAAAGAAAAACGGAACAAGUACAGACAUAAUAGAACAUGUGGCCAGCGGAGAGGGAGGGAGGGAGGGGGCCAGAGAGCCGGGCUCCUGGCACACUGUUCUGCCCAUUGUCCCCCUUCUUCUGUAACAGGUCCCCGUCUCCACCUGGGAAAUCCCCUCCUCCCCACUGUUUUGGGGUACAGUCACAGAGCCCAAUCCUCUAAGUAGAGCCCAUGAUCUAAGUAGGCCAACCAGAUUAUCACUCCCAGGAGCACAAAAAUUUGAAUCUCUGGCCCAAGAUUCAGGGGCAGAAAGACCCCAGAGCCACUGGGAUAUCUGUCCUUCCUUCGGUCAGUUCCUUUUGACAGAGUGGGCUAUUUCUUGCCCAUUUCAGCAAAAUUAGUCUCUGUUGCUUACAACCAAAGAGCCUCGGCUGAGUUAAUACCGUUCCGUUACGCAUUACCCACGCGAGUGCAAGCAAGCCAUCUAGGUCUCCAUCUUUUUAUCUAUAAAAAUUUCCAAGAGCGUCUUUCUCCACUCCCCCCCCGCCCCCCCCAACUCCCAGGGGCUGAUGCAGAGAUCAAAUUGAGUGAACUGAUGCAUGUGACAGCAUCUGAAAGCUAUACAGACCUACAGAAAGGGUUAUUAAUAUUCACUCGGCCUUGUAUUGUUAGCACACAAUACAUUCUCUAGGAAAAGAGCUGAUGUCUGAAAAGGGAAAGUAAAACCUUAUCUCCCUGUCACAAAGGGGUCUCUGGUGCUGUCACAGCAAAAAUCAGAACGGAAUUUUACCGGUACCUGAGAGCUGUUGCCAGGGGUAGAAGACGAAUGGCUAAAAUUAUAUCCUAUUUCUAUCGCCGGGGCUGAGCUUGAAGAAACAGCCCUAUAUCGGACAUCAUGCACAAAGAGAUGAAAAGAUAGGCUGGAGGCGCUGUCCCCAAAAUACACCGGACCCAGAGAAAGAGACUUCUCCCAUGUCCUGAUCCGUCCGAGCAGGAUCUGGAGGCCAGGCCUGAGGACGAGCAGGAUUGCUAGGGAAGGGAGCAGGUGCACAGACACGGAGAAGCCCGCGGGCCCCUCCAUGGGAGGAGAGGGUUGCAAGGGAUGGGGUCUGAUUGUUUCCAAAGGGAACGUCUCUGCCUUUUUGUUGUCCUUUUUGAGCAAUCUGUUUCCCAUAAAAAUCUAAGCAUUACAGAUAUUCAUUACAAACAAAACCCUCUCACAAUUCUUCCCUCGGGGCGGGGGGGGGGGGUGGGAAAUCACUGUUAACUGUUACUUUAUGAUUCCUGCAGAUGUCCUUGAUGCAUAUAACCAUCCAUCCAUUAUCCCCCCACGCAUCAGUUUUGUCUGUCUGUCCUGUCUUCACUCCUCGCUCCCUCCUUUCUUUCCAUCUAUCACCAAGGGAGUCCUGUCAUACUUGCUUUUCGUCUUAUAAUAAAUCAUGCACACGCUAUCUUGUUACUAUAUAUGGACUUGCCUUAUUUUUUGUAGCUGUAUAUAUACUGUUACAUAUAUAAUAAAUAGUAUAUAGUAGAUAUUAUUUUGCUGUUUGGGAUGGAUAUCUGGGCUGCUUAUCAUUUGUACGACUGCGGUCAAUCCUGUAAUAAACAAACAUACCAUGAAA